UAUGAACCAUUCAAAUACAUUACAUCAGCAAAACCUCAGAUGUAUCAAGUUUACAGCAAAGUUUUCCUGAACGGAUAGUUCACUUUGAAAUUAAUUUUUGGUAUGUUUUAGCUUACCUCAAGGGCAUCCAAGAUGUAGGUGUCUUUGUUUCCGCAGUAGUUUCAAUUUUGAUAUUUUUAGGUCAAACCGUUCUUGUCUGUCAGUCAUAUAAUGCAGGUCUAUGGUCACCACCUCAAAGAGCAUGCACAGAGAAGUCCAAAUUAAACAUGAUUUAAUGACUCGUAAAUGUAAGUACACAUUGAUGGCCUAAGACACGAAACGAGCGGUUUGUGUGAGAAAACGAACAGUAUUUAUAUCGUUUUUACCUCUUGUAACCACAGCCACGUCCAAGUGAUCUGAGGGCGCGGGCGCUUCCGUCUGCGCAAGCGCCGGAAAGCGCCGGAAGUGAUCUCUCGCGCGUGUACGAAAAAAAUUCAACGUUGUCUGUUGAUAUAUCAAAAUCGUCUUCCAUUGCGAUUUCCUGUAUAUCUAAAUAUGUUUAGAUCUUCACAGUGAAAGGUAACACUUCCGAAAUCUGUGUAAACAAUGAGUGACGUACACGCGCGAGAGAUCACUUCCGGCGCUUGCGCAGACCGAAGCGCCCGCGUCCUCAGAUCACUUGGACGUGGCUGUGGUUACAAGAGGUAAAAACGAUAUAAAUACUGUUCGUUUUCUCAAACAAACCGCUCGUUUUGUGUCUUAGGCCAUCAAUGUGUACUUACAUUUACGAGUCAUUAAAUCAUGUUUAAUUUGGACUUCUCUGUGCAUGCUCUUUGAGGUGGUGACCAUAGACCUGCAUUAUAUGACUGACAGACAAAAACGGUUUGACCUAAAAAUAUCAAAA
Long non-coding RNA from Rhinichthys klamathensis goyatoka, 883 nucleotides. RefSeq lists it as uncharacterized. The record is from RefSeq and is a predicted model, not a curated record. The transcript has 2 exons. NCBI's taxonomy places the organism in Eukaryota, Metazoa, Chordata, Actinopteri, Cypriniformes, Leuciscidae.